This 192-nucleotide ribosomal RNA is filed under the name Triticum aestivum (bread wheat). RNAcentral describes it as "partial small subunit ribosomal RNA". The record is from RNAcentral. Lineage: Eukaryota; Viridiplantae; Streptophyta; Magnoliopsida; Poales; Poaceae.
AUGGCUGCUCCGGGCAGAGCGGUACUGGUCAAGUCGGUCAUCACGGCCAUUGCCAUUUAUUACAUGACGGCGCUAAAUCUUCCAGUUCAGGUCAUGAAAAAGAUUGAUUCCCUUCGACGAGCUUUCCUAUGGGCUGGGUGUGAUAAGGUCACUGGUGGCAAUUGCAAGAUCAACUGGGAGCAGGUGUGCAAG